This 353-nucleotide ribosomal RNA is filed under the name uncultured bacterium. RNAcentral describes it as "bacterial SSU rRNA". It matches the Rfam family "Bacterial small subunit ribosomal RNA", at positions 28 to 391 of the family's 1533-position model. The record is from RNAcentral.
GAUUAACGCUGGCGGCGUGCCUAACACAUGCAAGUCGAACGAGGUAGCAAUACCUAGUGGCAGACGGGUGAGUAACGCGUGGUCAACCUACCGUUGAGUGGGGGAUAACUAGCCGAAAGGUUAGCUAAUACCGCAUACGUCUCCGAGGGGCAUCCCUUGGCGAUAAAAGGAGCAAUCCGCUCGAUGACGGGACCGCGUCCCAUUAGCUAGAUGGUGGGGUAACGGCCUACCAUGGCACCGAUGGGUAGCUGGUUUGAGAGAGCGACCAGCCACACUGGGACUGAGAAACGGCCCAGACUCCUACGGGAGGCAGCAGUGAGGAAUUUUCCGCAAUGGGCGCAAGCCUGACGGAG